GUCUUGAUGGUCUAGUGGUAUGAUUCUCGCUUAGGGUUCACCCAAAAGCAUUAGACUUGCGAGAGGUCCCGCGUUCGACUCGCGGUCAAGACC
Non-coding RNA from Lithohypha guttulata, 93 nucleotides. NCBI's taxonomy places the organism in Eukaryota, Fungi, Ascomycota, Eurotiomycetes, Chaetothyriales, Trichomeriaceae. The record is from the annotation of a RefSeq genome assembly.